Molecule: long non-coding RNA, 255 nt
Filed under: Elaeis guineensis (African oil palm)
Lineage: Eukaryota; Viridiplantae; Streptophyta; Magnoliopsida; Arecales; Arecaceae
Description: long non-coding RNA (EGUI_LNC075529)
Source: RNAcentral
GCUGAGAUCUAGCCACGGAGGUCGUAGAUCGCCUGGUGGAUGCUUUUCAGAAAGGCAUCGGUUGGGAUUUGGCUGGAGAAGAAGAAGAAGAUGUCGAAGAAGAUGAUCGGAGAUAGUCCCGUUGAGUACUCCUUUAAGAACAAGGGUCCUGCGAAGACAUAGGGCCCUUCCUCUAGCGUCAAUUCUGUUGGUGCAGAAUUCCAUCGAUGUCGGAGAAGUUGGAGUCGAGGGGAUCACGGCCGUCGUCGAGACCUG